This 757-nucleotide ribosomal RNA is filed under the name Shigella sonnei. Its description in RNAcentral is "partial 23S ribosomal RNA". It matches the Rfam family "Bacterial large subunit ribosomal RNA", at positions 453 to 1211 of the family's 2925-position model. The record is from RNAcentral. Lineage: Bacteria; Pseudomonadati; Pseudomonadota; Gammaproteobacteria; Enterobacterales; Enterobacteriaceae.
CCAUCCUCCAAGGCUAAAUACUCCUGACUGACCGAUAGUGAACCAGUACCGUGAGGGAAAGGCGAAAAGAACCCCGGCGAGGGGAGUGAAAAAGAACCUGAAACCGUGUACGUACAAGCAGUGGGAGCACGCUUAGGCGUGUGACUGCGUACCUUUUGUAUAAUGGGUCAGCGACUUAUAUUCUGUAGCAAGGUUAACCGAAUAGGGGAGCCGAAGGGAAACCGAGUCUUAACUGGGCGUUAAGUUGCAGGGUAUAGACCCGAAACCCGGUGAUCUAGCCAUGGGCAGGUUGAAGGUUGGGUAACACUAACUGGAGGACCGAACCGACUAAUGUUGAAAAAUUAGCGGAUGACUUGUGGCUGGGGGUGAAAGGCCAAUCAAACCGGGAGAUAGCUGGUUCUCCCCGAAAGCUAUUUAGGUAGCGCCUCGUGAAUUCAUCUCCGGGGGUAGAGCACUGUUUCGGCAAGGGGGUCAUCCCGACUUACCAACCCGAUGCAAACUGCGAAUACCGGAGAAUGUUAUCACGGGAGACACACGGCGGGUGCUAACGUCCGUCGUGAAGAGGGAAACAACCCAGACCGCCAGCUAAGGUCCCAAAGUCAUGGUUAAGUGGGAAACGAUGUGGGAAGGCCCAGACAGCCAGGAUGUUGGCUUAGAAGCAGCCAUCAUUUAAAGAAAGCGUAAUAGCUCACUGGUCGAGUCGGCCUGCGCGGAAGAUGUAACGGGGCUAAACCAUGCACCGAAGCUGCGGCAGCGA